GACGAACGCUGGCGGCGUGCUUAACACAUGCAAGUCGAGCGGUAAGGCCCUUUCGGGGGUACACGAGCGGCGAACGGGUGAGUAACACGUGGGUGACCUGCCCUUAGCUCUGGGAUAAGCCUGGGAAACUGGGUCUAAUACCGGACAUGACUCCAUGACGCAUGUUGUGGGGUGGAAAGCCUUGUGCGGCUAGGGAUGGGCCCGCGGCCUAUCAGCUUGUUGGUGGGGUGAUGGCCUACCAAGGCGACGACGGGUAGCCGGCCUGAGAGGGCGACCGGCCACACUGGGACUGAGACACGGCCCAGACUCCUACGGGAGGCAGCAGUGGGGAAUCUUGCGCAAUGGGCGAAAGCCUGACGCAGCGACGCCGCGUGGGGAUGACGGCCUCGG
This 390-nucleotide ribosomal RNA is filed under the name uncultured bacterium. RNAcentral's name for it is "bacterial SSU rRNA". It matches the Rfam family "Bacterial small subunit ribosomal RNA", at positions 28 to 420 of the family's 1533-position model. The record is from RNAcentral.